This 458-nucleotide ribosomal RNA is filed under the name uncultured bacterium. Its description in RNAcentral is "partial 16S ribosomal RNA". It matches the Rfam family "Bacterial small subunit ribosomal RNA", at positions 28 to 507 of the family's 1533-position model. The record is from RNAcentral.
GACGAACGCUGGCGGCAGGCUUAACACAUGCAAGUCGAACGCACCUUUCGGGGUGAUUGGCCUACGGGUUAGUAACGCGUGGGAAUCUACCCUUCUCUACGGGCUAGCUCCGGGAAACUGGAAUUAUUACCGUAUCCGACCUGAGGGCGGAUGAUUUAUCGGAGCAGGAUGAGCCCGAGUUACAUUAGCUAGUUGGUAGGGUAAGGGCCUACCAAGGCGACGAUGCGUAGCUGAUCUAAGAGGGUGAUUAGCAACACUGGAACUGAGACACGGCCAAGAAUCCUACGAGAGGCAGCAGUAGGGAAUCUUCCGGAAUGGGAGAAAGCGUGACGGAGCAACGCCGCGUGAGUGAUGAAGGUCUUCGGAUCGUAAAACUCUGUUAUGAGGGAAGAACAAAUGUGUAAGUAACUAGGCACGACUUGAAGGUACCUAAUAAGAAAGCCACGGCUAACUACGUG